ACGCUCGACACCUACGGGAGACAGCAGUUGGGAAUAUUGGACAAUGGAGGAAACUCUGAUCCAGUGACGCCGCGUGAAGGAAGAAGGUCUUCGGAUUGUAAACUUAUUUUGUCAGGGAAGAAAAAUGACUGUACCUGAAGAAAAAGCACCGGCUAACUACGUGCCAUCAGCCGCGGUAAUCUGAGCGGGCUGGCAAGGC
This 199-nucleotide ribosomal RNA is filed under the name uncultured bacterium. RNAcentral describes it as "partial 16S ribosomal RNA". It matches the Rfam family "Bacterial small subunit ribosomal RNA", at positions 328 to 539 of the family's 1533-position model. The record is from RNAcentral.